This 394-nucleotide RNase P RNA is filed under the name Leptospira wolffii. Its description in RNAcentral is "RNase P RNA component class A". It matches the Rfam family "Bacterial RNase P class A". From Rfam's summary of the family: Ribonuclease P (RNase P) is a ubiquitous endoribonuclease, found in archaea, bacteria and eukarya as well as chloroplasts and mitochondria. Its best characterised activity is the generation of mature 5'-ends of tRNAs by cleaving the 5'-leader elements of precursor-tRNAs. Lineage: Bacteria; Pseudomonadati; Spirochaetota; Leptospiria; Leptospirales; Leptospiraceae. The record is from RNAcentral.
AAGGUCUGCCGGAUGGUCGCGCUUUCUUUUCUGUCCGGUUGGAUUCUCCACCGCUCGGGAAGAAUGUGAGGAAAGUCCGGACACCAUGGAAUCACGGGACCGGGUAAUUCCCGGAGUCCGGAAUCGAAAGAGACCGGAUAUGGAAAGUGCAGCAGAAAGGAUACCGCCUCUUUUGAGGUAAGGGUGAAAUGGUGGGGUAAGAGCCCACCGCCGUUUUUGCAAGAAAGCGGGCAAGGUAAACCCUCCCGGGUGCAAUCUCGAAUAGGCGACCGUUUUAGUCGAUUCCCCUAGGUCGCGGGUAGAGAGCAAGGAGUCCGCUCGGCAACAUGCGGGCCAAGAUAAAUGAUCAUCACUCGCAAGAGUACAAAAUCCGGCUUACAGGCGGCCCUUCCAC